This 275-nucleotide ribosomal RNA is filed under the name uncultured bacterium. RNAcentral's name for it is "partial 16S ribosomal RNA". It matches the Rfam family "Bacterial small subunit ribosomal RNA", at positions 399 to 691 of the family's 1533-position model. The record is from RNAcentral.
GCGUGUGUGAAGAAGGCCUGCGGGUUGUAAAGCACUUUCAGUAGGGACGAUAAUGACGGUACCUACAGAAGAAGCACCGGCUAACUCUGUGCCAGCAGCCGCGGUAAUACAGAGGGUGCAAGCGUUAAUCGGAAUUACUGGGCGUAAAGCGCGCGUAGGCGGUUUUGUAAGUCGGGUGUGAAAUCCCUGGGCUCAACCUAGGAAUUGCAUUCGAUACUGCUUGACUAGAGUAUGGUAGAGGGUAGCGGAAUUCCAGGUGUAGCGGUGAAAUGCGU